This 231-nucleotide ribosomal RNA is filed under the name uncultured bacterium. RNAcentral describes it as "partial 16S ribosomal RNA". It matches the Rfam family "Bacterial small subunit ribosomal RNA", at positions 103 to 334 of the family's 1533-position model. The record is from RNAcentral.
CGGGUGAGCAACACGUAUCCAACCUGCCGUCUACUCUUGGACAGCCUUCUGAAAGGAAGAUUAAUACAAGAUGGCAUCAUGAGUCCACAUGUUCACAUGAUUAAAGGUAUUCCGGUAGACGAUGGGGAUGCGUUCCAUUAGAUAGUAGGCGGGGUAACGGCCCACUUAGUCUUCGAUGGAUAGGGGUUCUGAGAGGAAGGUCCCCCACAUUGGAACUGAGACACGGUCCAA